AACGAACGCUGGCGGCAUGCCUAACACAUGCAAGUCGAACGAGAUCCUGGUUUCGGCCUGGGUCUAGUGGCGCACGGGUGAGUAGCGCGUGGGAACCUGCCCUUCAGUGGGGGAUAACCGAAUGGGAAACGUCGGCUAAUACCGCAUACGUCCGGGGCCUGGUCUUAGGAUUGGGCUUUGGGGAAAGAUUUAUCGCUGAAGGAGGGGCCCGCGUCGGAUUAGGUAGUUGGUGGGGUAACGGCCUACCAAGCCUGNGAUCCGUAGCUGGUCUGAGAGGAUGAGUCAGCCACACUGGGACUGAGACACGGCCCAGACUCCUACGGGAGGCAGCAGUGGGGAAUAUUGGACAAUGGGCGCAAGCCUGAUCCAGCAAUGCCGCGUGAGUGAUGAAGGCCU
This 396-nucleotide ribosomal RNA is filed under the name uncultured bacterium. RNAcentral describes it as "bacterial SSU rRNA". It matches the Rfam family "Bacterial small subunit ribosomal RNA", at positions 28 to 417 of the family's 1533-position model. The record is from RNAcentral.